UCUGUGGUGACCAUUGUCAUGUGGAAAUCUUUUUUCAAGGUUUCAGUGGACUUUAUCAUGGAAACUAUAUGCUAGCAUGUAUUAAAAACAGCCCAGUUGGUAAAUUGCUUGCCUUGCAAGCAGGAGUACUUGAGCUGGAUAUUUAGGACCGUAUAAAGUAAGGUAGGCCCAAUGGACCAUGCUUAUCAUCCCAUCGAGUACUAGAGAAGGGGACAUGGGUAGCCUCCCUGCAUUUGUGAAGAUGAAGGCUUACAAGCCAUCUCAUUGUAAAGACAAACCAGGCUCAUUCCUGUUUAUGGUUAAAACCUCUGUCUCUCAAGGAUUGGGCUGUGCCCCACCUGUAAUGCUAACUACAAAUGGUUCUGUACUGCCUGUUCCUGGAAUGGCGAUCAUGUCUGUUUCAAAAACUUGUGUUCUAAUCAUCUGGCAACCCAACUUUUGUUUCAAAAGGCUAUUAUGUCCACCUAUGACUGUCCUGUUAUGACUACCUGCUGUUAUGACUACCUGUUGUUAUGACUACCUAUUGUUAUGACUACCUUGUUAUCUUCUCCUCACAACCAUGUCUUUGGUUUAGGUGACCAUUAGAACAA
This 590-nucleotide long non-coding RNA is filed under the name Rattus norvegicus (Norway rat). Its description in RNAcentral is "long non-coding RNA NONRATT007902". Lineage: Eukaryota; Metazoa; Chordata; Mammalia; Rodentia; Muridae. The record is from RNAcentral.